GAUGAACGCUGGCGGCGUGCUUAACACAUGCAAGUCGAACGGAAAGGCUCCUGCUUGCAGGGGUACUCGAGUGGCGAACGGGUGAGUAACACGUGGGUGAUCUGCCCUGCACUUCGGGAUAAGCCUGGGAAACUGGGUCUAAUACCGGAUAGGACGAUGGUUUGGAUGCCAUUGUGGAAAGUUUUUCGGUGUGGGAUGAGCUCGCGGCCUAUCAGCUUGUUGGUGGGGUAAUGGCCUACCAAGGCGUCGACGGGUAGCCGGCCUGAGAGGGUGUACGGCCACAUUGGGACUGAGAUACGGCCCAGCCUCCUACGGGAGGCAGCAGUGGGGAAUAUUGCACAAUGGGCGCAAGCCUGAUGCAGCGACGCCGCGUGGGGGAUGACGGCCUUCGGGUUGUAAACUCCUUUCGCUAGGGACGAAGCGCAAGUGACGGUACCUGGAGAAGAAGCACCGGCUAACUACGUG
Molecule: ribosomal RNA, 465 nt
Filed under: uncultured bacterium
Lineage: Bacteria
Description: partial 16S ribosomal RNA
Rfam family: Bacterial small subunit ribosomal RNA
Source: RNAcentral